UGGUGAACCAGCGGAGGGAUCAUUACUGAGUUUACGCUCUACAACCCUUUGUGAACAUACCUAUAACUGUUGCUUCGGCGGGUAGGGUCUCCGUGACCCUCCCGGCCUCCCGCCCCCGGGCGGGUCGGCGCCCGCCGGAGGAUAACCAAACUCUGAUUUAACGACGUUUCUUCUGAGUGGUACAAGCAAAUAAUCAAAACUUUUAACAACGGAUCUCUUGGUUCUGGCAUCGAUGAAGAACGCAGCGAAAUGCGAUAAGUAAUGUGAAUUGCAGAAUUCAGUGAAUCAUCGAAUCUUUGAACGCACAUUGCGCCCGCCAGCAUUCUGGCGGGCAUGCCUGUUCGAGCGUCAUUUCAACCCUCAAGCUCUGCUUGGUGUUGGGGCCCUACAGCUGAUGUAGGCCCUCAAAGGUAGUGGCGGACCCUCCCGGAGCCUCCUUUGCGUAGUAACUUUACGUCUCGCACUGGGAUCCGGAGGGACUCUUGCCGUAAAACCCCCCAAUUUUCCAAAGGUUGACCUCGGAUCAGGUAGGAAUACCCGCUGAACUUAAGCAUA
This 555-nucleotide ribosomal RNA is filed under the name Colletotrichum siamense. Its description in RNAcentral is "eukaryotic LSU rRNA". The stretch from base 198 to 351 matches the Rfam family "5.8S ribosomal RNA". The record is from RNAcentral. Lineage: Eukaryota; Fungi; Ascomycota; Sordariomycetes; Glomerellales; Glomerellaceae.